Molecule: long non-coding RNA, 768 nt
Organism: Dreissena polymorpha
Lineage: Eukaryota; Metazoa; Mollusca; Bivalvia; Myida; Dreissenidae
Exons: 3
Source: RefSeq, a predicted model, not a curated record
UGAAAACGAGACGAAUCUGGGUCAGUGCUGGUCACGUGGUAUUGGACCGAAAGCAGAACUGUGCAACCAUAGCCAGGACGCCAGCGUGUCAUGUGAUGUUCCGCUCAAUGUGUCGGGUUUAUCUAGCACGCCGCUUCCGAAAGCAAGAUGUACAGGCUAAAGCUUUAGAUAGAACGGGCAGUGUAAAACAAAAUGAUAUUCGCCUGUCACGAGGCAGCUCUUGUCUGGAAGGUCUAGUGCAGUUGCCACGAGGGCGAGUGGCGGACGGUGUUAAACCACGGAUUCGGCGCGCGGGAAGCGACCGUCUUCUGCCGGGUGCUGGGCUUCACGUUGGUCUAGGGCUGGUGUUUUUUACAGCAAGUUAAGAUGUAUAUAAGUAUUAUCAUCGAAUCCCGUAGCACAUUCUGAGGCUUACCCAAGGGUGUGGGUCGAACUCAACAUGAGCCCCGCUCUGGGAAAACCGAACUUAAUGCAUGUACAACAGAGUCUUACCAAAUUUACAUGUGCAGUCUGGCACUUGCUAGUGAGUUUGGUUGGUGGUGACAAUAACGGGCAGGUGUUGUUUCCUCCGUGGACUUCAUUGUCUUCCCACACUACAAGACCACACCAAAAUUAAAAAUAAUUGUCAGUUAGGAGAGUCAAACAGCUUAUUAGGUAGGAGUGCUUAGACUAUCGUCAAGUUCUCUUAUUGCGCAUUCUCAGGCGCGGAACCACCCAAUUUAUUUUGAAAUCAACACAAACACGUUCUUUGUCAAUUACGAGAUUGUG